GAUGAACGCUGGCGGCGUGCCUAAUACAUGCCAGUCGAGCGAACAGAUGAGGAGCUUGCUCCUCUGACGUUAGCGGCGGACGGGUGAGUAACACGUGGAUAACCUACCUAUAAGACUGGGAUAACUUCGGGAAACCGGAGCUAAUACCGGAUAAUAUAUUGAACCGCAUGGUUCAAUAGUGAAAGACGGUUUUGCUGUCACUUAUAGAUGGAUCCGCGCCGCAUUAGCUAGUUGGUAAGGUAACGGCUUACCAAGGCAACGAUGCGUAGCCGACCUGAGAGGGUGAUCGGCCACACUGGAACUGAGACACGGUCCAGACCCCUACGGGAGGCAGCAGUAGGGAAUCUUCCGCAAUGGGCGAAAGCCUGACGGAGCAACGCCGCGUGAGUGAUGAAGGUCUUCGGAUCGUAAAACUCUGUUAUUAGGGAAGAACAAAUGUGUAAGUAACUAUGCACGUCUUGACGGUACCUAAUCAGAAAGCCACGGCUAACUACGUG
Molecule: ribosomal RNA, 497 nt
Filed under: uncultured bacterium
Lineage: Bacteria
Description: partial 16S ribosomal RNA
Rfam family: Bacterial small subunit ribosomal RNA
Source: RNAcentral